This 392-nucleotide RNase P RNA is filed under the name Actinomycetes bacterium. RNAcentral's name for it is "Actinobacteria bacterium RNase P RNA component class A". It matches the Rfam family "Bacterial RNase P class A". Rfam says of the family: Ribonuclease P (RNase P) is a ubiquitous endoribonuclease, found in archaea, bacteria and eukarya as well as chloroplasts and mitochondria. Its best characterised activity is the generation of mature 5'-ends of tRNAs by cleaving the 5'-leader elements of precursor-tRNAs. Cellular RNase Ps are ribonucleoproteins. Lineage: Bacteria; Bacillati; Actinomycetota; Actinomycetes. The record is from RNAcentral.
CGAGUCGACCGGGCGGCCGCGUCAGGGUCACGGCCCUGCCGAGGAACGUCCGGGCUCCACAGGGCAGGGUGGUUGUUAACGGCAACCCGGGGUGACCCGCGGGAAAGUGCCACAGAAAACAGACCGCCGCGCCGACGGCGCGGUAAGGGUGAAACGGCGGGGUAAGAGCCCACCAGCAUCCCGGGUGACCGGGAUGGCUCGGUAAACCCCACCUGGAGCAAGGCCAAGAGGGCUGUCGCCGCAAGGCGGUGGCCUGCGCAGGCGGUUGAGGGUUGCCCGCCCGAUGCCUGCGGGUAGGCCGCUAGAGCCUGCCGGCGACGGCAGGCCGAGAUGGAUGGCCGCCGCCUCCCGCGAGGGAGGUACAGGACCCGGCGUACAGGUCGACUCGUCCG